Molecule: ribosomal RNA, 325 nt
Filed under: uncultured bacterium
Lineage: Bacteria
Description: bacterial SSU rRNA
Rfam family: Bacterial small subunit ribosomal RNA
Source: RNAcentral
GUUAGCUGCAGAAGAAGCACCGGCUAACUCCGUGCCAGCAGCCGCGGUAAUACGGAGGGUGCGAGCGUUAAUCGGAAUUACUGGGCGUAAAGCGCAUGCAGGUGGUUUGUUAAGUCAGAUGUGAAAGACCCGGGGCGUCAACCUCGGAAUUGCAUUUGAAACUAGGCAGACUAGAGUACUGUAGAGGGGGUAGGAAGUUUCAGGUGUAGCGGUGAAAUGCGUAGAGAUCUGAAGGAAUACCGGUGGCGAAGGCGGCCCCCUCGGACAGAUACUGACACUCAGAUGCGAAAGCGUGGGGAGCAAACAGGAUUAGAUACCCUGGUAG